GUCUGGAUUCCCACCAUGGCCUGGACCCCUCUGCUCCUCACGCUGAUCACUUACUGCUCAGGGAUCAGCUCACAGCCCGUGGUGACUCAGGAGCCCUCAAUGUCGGUGACCCCAGGAGGGACUGUCGCUCUGUCCUGCAGCCUGAGCACUGAAGCCAUCACCAGCAGCAGAUAUCCUAGCUGGUUCCAGCAGAAACCAGGCUCUGCUCCUCGACUGCUUAUAUACAACACCAAUACCAGAUCCUCUGGGAUCCCUGCCCGGUUCUCUGGAUCCAUAUCCGGUAACAAUGCUGCCCUGACCGUCACCGGUGUCCAGGCAGAGGAUGAGGCUGACUAUUACUGUGUUGUGUUUAUGGGUACCG
Molecule: non-coding RNA, 361 nt
Organism: Chelonoidis abingdonii (Abingdon island giant tortoise)
Lineage: Eukaryota; Metazoa; Chordata; Testudines; Testudinidae
Source: the annotation of a RefSeq genome assembly